GCAUCGGUGGUUCGGUGGUAGGCUUCUUGCCUCCCAUGCUGGAGACCCGGGUUUAAUUCCCAGCCGGUGUA
This 71-nucleotide transfer RNA is filed under the name Loxodonta africana (African savanna elephant). It matches the Rfam family "tRNA". From Rfam's summary of the family: Transfer RNA (tRNA) molecules are approximately 80 nucleotides in length. Their secondary structure includes four short double-helical elements and three loops (D, anti-codon, and T loops). The record is from Rfam by way of RNAcentral. Lineage: Eukaryota; Metazoa; Chordata; Mammalia; Proboscidea; Elephantidae.